This 420-nucleotide ribosomal RNA is filed under the name uncultured Mesorhizobium sp. RNAcentral describes it as "bacterial SSU rRNA". It matches the Rfam family "Bacterial small subunit ribosomal RNA", at positions 56 to 525 of the family's 1533-position model. Lineage: Bacteria; Pseudomonadati; Pseudomonadota; Alphaproteobacteria; Hyphomicrobiales; Phyllobacteriaceae. The record is from RNAcentral.
UGCAGUCGAGCGCCCCGCAAGGGGAGCGGCAGACGGGUGAGUAACGCGUGGGAAUCUACCCAUCACUACGGAACAACUCCGGGAAACUGGAGCUAAUACCGUAUACGUCCUUCGGGAGAAAGAUUUAUCGGUGAUGGAUGAGCCCGCGUUGGAUUAGCUAGUUGGUGGGGUAAUGGCCUACCAAGGCGACGAUCCAUAGCUGGUCUGAGAGGAUGAUCAGCCACACUGGGACUGAGACACGGCCCAGACUCCUACGGGAGGCAGCAGUGGGGAAUAUUGGACAAUGGGCGAAAGCCUGAUCCAGCCAUGCCGCGUGAGUGAUGAAGGCCCUAGGGUUGUAAAGCUCUUUCAACGGUGAAGAUAAUGACGGUAACCGUAGAAGAAGCCCCGGCUAACUUCGUGCCAGCAGCCGCGGUAAUA